RNAcentral lists this long non-coding RNA (624 nucleotides) under Numida meleagris (helmeted guineafowl). RNAcentral describes it as "lncRNA (ENSNMEG00000001464.1)". Lineage: Eukaryota; Metazoa; Chordata; Aves; Galliformes; Numididae. The record is from RNAcentral.
CACGCCAGCCAGCCAGCCACCUGGAGUACCACUCACACACCCACGCACGCCAGCCAGCCAGCCAUCCGGAGCAUCACUCACCCACGCACGCACGCCAGCCAGCAGGAGCACCAUUCACCCACGCAGGCACGACAGCCCGCAAGCUGGAGCACCAGUCACCCAUCCACGCACACUAGCCAGCCAGCCCGAGCACCACUCACCCACCAACCCACGCCAGCCAGCCUGCCAGCCUGAGCACCACUCAACCACCAACCCAAGCACGCCAGCCAGCCGGAGAAUCACUCACUCAUCCACGCCAGCCAGCCAGCCAACAGGAGCACCACUCACACACCCACGCCAGCCAGCCAGCCAGCCGGUGCAGAACUCACCCACCCACGUCAGCCAGCAAGCCAGCCAUAGCACCACUCACCCACCCACGCCAGCCUGCCAGCUGGAGCAGAACUCACCCACCCACGUCAGCCAGCCAGCCAGCCACGGCACCACUCACCCACCCACACCAGCCAGCUAUCCAGCCGGAGCACCACUCACCCACCCACCCACGCCAGCCAUCGAGCCGGAGCAUCACUCACCCACCCACGCCAGCCUGCCAGCCGGUGCAGAACUCACCCACCCACGCCAGCCAGC